RNAcentral lists this long non-coding RNA (1297 nucleotides) under Homo sapiens (human). Its description in RNAcentral is "HSALNT0077763". Lineage: Eukaryota; Metazoa; Chordata; Mammalia; Primates; Hominidae. The record is from RNAcentral.
GACUGGACAUUUUAAAUUUUGAAUUGUGACUCAAAUUCAAAGUACUAGAGGACUUUUACCAUCUUAAGAAUGAUGAUCAACUCAUGGAAUCUGGAAUGCAGUGGAGGUGAUACUAUGGUCAUAAUGACCAGGGGCUGGGUCAGAAGAACUUCAGAUUGAGCCUCUUGAAACAUUUGCUCUUGGAAUUCUCCCUCUCAGGAAACUAACAGCCUGCUAUGAAGCCCAAGCCACAAAGAGAGGCCAAGGGGAAAUAAACAGAGUGUGAUUAUAUGCAAAACCUACAAGAAUGAGGACCUCCAAACUCAGUGUACAGAGUGAUUUUCUGCUGAAACAAUUGGCUUUUAAAAAAUUGUGUGACUGACCAGCAGCAGUGGCUCACAUCUGUAAUCCCAGCACUUUGGGAGGCCGAGAAAAUAAAAGAGACAUCAGUGUGUGAAUGACGACUUUCUGUUGCUGACUUGGAAGACAGAGGAAUUGGGUCAUGAGCCGAGGAAGGUGGGCAGCUUCUAAAAGGCGGAAAAGUGGCUGAAGUGAGAGGAAGCGAGGAUAUGGCUGACAUUCUCCAAGAAGCAGUGACUUCAGAAGAUGACUGGCAUCUUGAACUUCAGGAAAAUGCUUGGCCUUUUUAACUCUGAAAGUCUGUUUGAAACUCAGAAGAAGAAAAUUAGGUGAAUACAAAACUGCUGCCAAACUUAGAAACUUGGUUAAAUAUCCUGCAGAAAAUAUCAUGGGCUUUUCAGAGUCCAGUUAAAUAUCUACAGAUUAUAUUUCCAGUUUCAUACCUGGGGCAUUAACUCUAUUCAUUUUACUAGCUUUAGUGAAUUUUACUUCUGGAGCAUAACAUUGCAUUGAAAAUGUGUCCUCUAACCUAUGAUAUUUAUGUAUCGUUUAAUAUGAAAUUUAUGAGGUUCCAUUUCUGAUUUCCAAAUGGAUGCAAAUUAGAACACAGGAUAUUUACAUUCUUUCAUUUCUAACCCACAUACAUAAAGUUUGACUUUAAAAUGCCACUGUUCGUGUCUGUUUCAUAGAAGCUCUAGGUAUUUAUACGUCCAUUGUGUCUCUGGCACACUCUGAAUUCCAGUUUUUAAUCUAAUAUUGGGCAGGAAUUGGCUAUAAAAAUACAAUGCCAUUGAGGACAGAGCUGGAUUGCUUUUUUUCUGUUAAUUCUUGAGAACUUUAUAGUUUCUCAGGGAAGUAUAAUUUGUAACCACAUCAUCAUCUAACACUUUUCCUGUCUUUUUUGGAGAUUGACAGUUGAAAAUCUAUAAGAUCUUUUUGCAACUAAGAUCAGGAAAAA